This is a non-coding RNA of Callithrix jacchus (white-tufted-ear marmoset), 631 nucleotides long. NCBI's taxonomy places the organism in Eukaryota, Metazoa, Chordata, Mammalia, Primates, Cebidae. The record is from RefSeq and is a predicted model, not a curated record.
AUGGGUGGAAGAGGGAAGUAAGCAAGCAGAAGUAACUUCCUGCUACUGACAUACUGGCCUUGAAGGAGCUGGAUCACUGAAGAGAGGCCCCCAAUUUCUGGGUGAAUAUGCUUUCCACAUUUAAAAAGAUGCUUUGGCAACAGAAGUCCAAUUUUGAAUGAAUGAAAGAUUCACAAUGGGUGCUUAAAAAAAAUAAACAGAAGGUAUGAGGUGGAAAUUAUAAUAAAUAUUUUUCUAUAUAAUCGAUAAGCUUCAUUGAUCACAAAAGACAACACAUCAUUGUUCCUAAAAUUCUCCACUGCCUCAGUAUGGCUUGCAGCAUCACGCCUCACAGUGCCUGACCAAGCAUUUUCAAACAUUCACCAUUGUGAGCACUUAUUAAAAAUAAGGAUGCCUGGGUCUCACCCCUACUUCCUGUGGAGGAAAGAAGAUUCAGUAAGAGAAGAUGGAAUAGUGAUGGAGGCCGUAAGUCUGGAGUUUGCCUAUUACAUCGAGUGAUGCUGUUGUGGGUUUGGUGCUAUCUUGAUGCCUACGGGUCACUGGCACUUAUAUUUGGAGGCCCCACCUCAAAAUCACCUCAAAUGUAUUUGAAUGCAUCCUCAACACCUAUUAAAUAUUUUUUGGCUUUUAA